RNAcentral lists this non-coding RNA (157 nucleotides) under Methyloceanibacter marginalis. RNAcentral's name for it is "6S / SsrS RNA". It matches the Rfam family "6S / SsrS RNA". From Rfam's summary of the family: E. coli 6S RNA was the first non coding RNA to be sequenced, but its function was unknown until recently. It consists of 184 nucleotides that fold into an extended hairpin structure with a large single-stranded internal bulge. The 6S RNA specifically associates with RNA polymerase holoenzyme containing the sigma70 specificity factor. Lineage: Bacteria; Pseudomonadati; Pseudomonadota; Alphaproteobacteria; Hyphomicrobiales; Hyphomicrobiaceae. The record is from Rfam by way of RNAcentral.
GGCGGGCUGCGGGGUGCGUUAGGAGCAUUAUUCCAGGGCCCUAUAAGAUUCUAUGGGAGCUGACCCUGGCGGGGACCCUGGUCUUCGCUACUCGGCGCCCACCUACUUAAUGUAGGGAGACCGGAAUCUUACCUCCGACGGCCAUCGCGGCCCUGCC